RNAcentral lists this ribosomal RNA (253 nucleotides) under uncultured bacterium. RNAcentral describes it as "partial 16S ribosomal RNA". It matches the Rfam family "Bacterial small subunit ribosomal RNA", at positions 524 to 776 of the family's 1533-position model. The record is from RNAcentral.
UACGGGGGGGGCAAGCGUUGUUCGGAAUUACUGGGCGUAAAGGGCUCGUAGGCGGCCAACUAAGUCAGACGUGAAAUCCCUCGGCUUAACCGGGGAACUGCGUCUGAUACUGGAUGGCUUGAGUUUGGGAGAGGGAUGCGGAAUUCCAGGUGUAGCGGUGAAAUGCGUAGAUAUCUGGAGGAACACCGGUGGCGAAGGCGGCAUCCUGGACCGAGAUUGACGCUGAUGCGCGAAAGCCAGGGGAGCAAACGGG